RNAcentral lists this ribosomal RNA (549 nucleotides) under uncultured archaeon. RNAcentral describes it as "bacterial SSU rRNA". It matches the Rfam family "Archaeal small subunit ribosomal RNA", at positions 275 to 824 of the family's 1478-position model. The record is from RNAcentral.
UGUGAGAGCAAGAGCCCGGAGAUGGAUUCUGAGACACGAAUCCAGGCCCUACGGGGUGCAGCAGGCGCGAAAACUUUACAAUGCUGGCAACAGCGAUAAGGGAGCCUCGAGUGCCAGGUUACAAAUCUGGCUGUCGAGAUGCCUAAAAAGCAUUGCAUAGCAAGGGCCGGGCAAGACCGGUGCCAGCCGCCGCGGUAACACCGGCGGCUCGAGUGGUAACCGUUAUUAUUGGGUCUAAAGGGUCUGUAGCCGGCCGGAUAAGUCUCUUGAGAAAUCCAGCAGCUCAACUGUUGGGCUUUCAGGAGAUACUGUUCGGCUCGAGGCCGGGAGAGGUGAGAGGUACUUCAGGGGUAGGGGUGAAAUCUUGUAAUCCUUGAAGGACCACCAGUGGCGAAGGCGUCUCACCAGAACGGACCUGACGGCAAGGGACGAAAGCUGGGGGCACGAACCGGAUUAGAUACCCGGGUAGUCCUAGCCGUAAACGAUACUCGCUAGGUGUCGGCCACGGUGCGACCGUUGUCGGUGCCGUAGGGAAGCCGUGAAGCGAGC